This 874-nucleotide long non-coding RNA is filed under the name Manihot esculenta (cassava). Its description in RNAcentral is "long non-coding RNA (MESC_LNC006597)". The record is from RNAcentral. Lineage: Eukaryota; Viridiplantae; Streptophyta; Magnoliopsida; Malpighiales; Euphorbiaceae.
AUCCAACUCUAUCAACAUAUCAACCACUGCCAUGAUCAUCCUGCUCCCAAUAAAUUCCCUAAUUGCACCACUCUCCAAUCUCAACAUAUUCUCCACAAAGAUCUCAGUCUGUAAAAGCAAGCGAAUAAGUCUAUAAAUCAAUCAUCUAAAACAACUAUUAGACGCUUUGACAGAGAGAGGAAAUUGUGAUACAGCAUCACUAUAAAGUACAUGCAUCAUUAUAAAACCACUACUCUCAACAUAUUCUCCACAUAGAUCUCAGUCUGUAAAAAUCAAGGGAAUAAGUCUAUAAAUCAAUGAUCUAAAACAACUAUUAGAAACUUCGACAGAGAGAGAGAGGAUUGUGAGACAGCAUCACUAUAAAGUACAUGCAUCAUUAUAAAACCACCACUCAAUGAAAUAGUAUAGGAAAUUACAGCAGCAUCAGCACCAGUACACUGGAUAAUUUAAAAACGAGAUCUUACUUUGAUACACAGACAACAACAGAUAAGCAGUAAUACCUCCAAAUCAACAUCAAUAUAAUGUGGAACAGCUCUAGUAUUAGACCAAGUAUAAAUAAAAGAAUAAGUGCACAAUAUGCACUUUAACUAUGAUAAACACAGUUUUAUUGUAUGACCUGCAGGAAAAAUUAAUAAACCAUAUGUGAAUAGGUGUUGCCCAAAAGGAAGCAGGACUUCCAUUUUGAUUGAUGUCACACUAUAAAAGACCAAGUUUCAUCUAAAACAUGCUGCUGCAUCCAUUCAAGGAGAUGGAUGCACAUCAAUUAGGUUCAUGAUGAGACUAACUACAGUGUGAUUUGACAUUGCAAUUUGCAAGGGAAGGAGGAGGUAGAGGAUUUUAAAAUGAAGUUGAAUUAGAUACAAGAAUUUAAUUU